AAAAACACGCUCUCCCCGUAUUCACAUUCUCAAUCCACCGCCUUUUUCUCCUCCUCUCUGUAUUCCUUUUUUUCCUUUCAUCCGCCUCUAUAUCCAGAAACCCUAAUCUCCAUUCUCUCUUCUCUUCUCCCUCUUCGUCGCCUUUCAUCUUCUUCCUUUGUAAGUUGUUUAGGGUUUUACAAAAAUAUAGAUUCAACAAACAACGCAGAGUAUGAAUCUCAGGAAGGAAAGACCGAUCCUUUUCUUGGUCUAUUCUAUUUUUCUUCUCUGAUCAAUCUUCUAAUAGGUAUUCUGAUUUAACUUUUUCACUUUGUCAGUAUUAGUUUUGUUUUCGUAUUUCGAUUGAUUGUUGUAAGAAUUUUGAGGGAUUUGUUAUCGCUUUAUAGUUACAACCAAAUUGUUUUCUUGAAUCUUUUGUAGUCAAUUGUUUGAAAGUUUAUGUUUUCACUAAACACUCAUGUUCUUGAGAACCCUAAUUUUUUUCUGUUUGAUGAUACGAGUUGAAUAUCAUAUGGUUUGAUACGGGUUGCAACCCAUUGAAGUUGAUUACUUGGAAGAACUGAAGAAGCAUGGUGUAAUGGCGUGAUUUACUGGACAUUUCACCCACGCUAAGGGAGGCAGGUGGUGCCAUUGUCGAUGCAAGACUCUUUUACAAGAUGUUUCAAGUCAAAUCCUCAAGAACCUUGGAAUUGGAAUGUGUAUUUGUUCCCCCUUGGUGUUUAGGAGUUGUAGUGAGAUAUGGAAUUCUUUUCCCUGUAAGUUGAGAAGAUUUUGAUUUGGAAGGCUUCUGAUAUGCCCAUUUACUACUGCAGAUCCGAUGUAGAUGUAUGGGUGGGUACUCAUUGGAUUUGAGUUUUUAAUGAUUCAUUUAAGACUACAACGAUUGCAGUUGUGAUUACGAAUCGAGAUGAAACAUCGACUAGAAAAUAGCAGAGCUCAUCUGAGAUAACCAUAAACCAUCGACUAAAAAGGAACAGUGCCCAAAUGAUAUGGUAUUGCAAAGUCGGAUCAAAAUGUGAAAUAAGGUGAAGGGUAGCUGGGGAAUUGGAGAAUAAAACAGAUAAUUCACACUUAAUUAAUUCUUUUGAUAUCCGUUUGUGUAGAUCAGUUACUUAUUUUGUCAAUAGAUAAAUCUUUAAUAGAUUUAUAAUAAUCGAAAAUCGUUUAUGGAUUUUUGCCUUUUGAAAAAACAUGUCUUUUUAUUUUAUUUAAUGACAUAGUUUGAACCU
Long non-coding RNA from Helianthus annuus (common sunflower), 1229 nucleotides. RefSeq lists it as uncharacterized. Lineage: Eukaryota; Viridiplantae; Streptophyta; Magnoliopsida; Asterales; Asteraceae. The record is from RefSeq and is a predicted model, not a curated record. The transcript has 6 exons.